CUUAAGGGAUUGCCCAAGGACAGGUUCAGAGAGCUCCUGGAAGUGGCAGCCCAGACUGUGGCCCCCAGUCUUGGUGAGAGUAACCUGAGGACCAUGGCUCCUCUGACUGCAAAGCUGGCAUCCGUAGCUGCCUCGCAUCCGUAGCUGCCUCCAGUGAGCCAGGGAGGGGAAAGUCCUUCCCGGGCAGGGCCAGUUGGGCAGUCCCAGCUCCAGUUGUGCUCAGCCAGGGCCCCGCCACAGGCUCUGCUCAGCCCAUGGAGCUGUGGAAGAGCAGCUCCAGAUAUGGAGGAAGGGGCUCUUCCAGUGACACUGGCUUUCAGAGAAGGUUCCCAAGACUCAGUGAGCCCUUGCAGAGGAAAGAAAUGCCUGUUGGGCAGAAUCUCUGCCAUCGUGAUGAUGAGGCCGGUUCCUGGUGUGAUUAGCAGAGAAUCUCUGGCCUCUUAGAAAGGUCUGGAAUGCAGCCAUUGUAUUCCACUGAUGGAUGGAAUGUGCCUCACUGCAGACGAUUUUAUAGCCUUCAGGCCUUAUAGGACUGUGUACAACUACCUCCUACCUCUCAACAACCACGGGAGGUAUCAGGUGAGUUCCUGGGUGAAGUCCUGGGCCCCUCUGCCUUGACUGCCCAUCAAUACAGACGGUAAAGAUGGAAGGAUGAAAGGCUGGGCCUCAGGUGGAAGGGCCUUGUGACGCCUCGUGAGCUAAUGGUUAAUUUCCACACCACUCUGAGAAGGUUCAUAAUAUUAAUGACAAUUCAAUGACAAGAAAGACAUUGAGACUGAGAAAGAUGUCCUACGUAUGGAUCAGGCUCACAGAGAGAACUUGUGACUGACUGGCCCAGGACUUGAACCCAAGUGUCUGACUUUGCAGGCUGUGUGUCCUGAUGGUUCCAGCUUCUCCCAGGCCCCUAUGCGGCCCUGGGAGUUUGACUGUGAGCCUUUCUCUGAGUCUCAGCGGGUGGAAAGCUCCCUCUACUGGGCAGCCAAGGAUCAAGAAAGUGAAAAUGAGCAGACAAAAGAAAUGCUUCAAACAUUGGAAACUGAGGACUCCCAGUCCCCGUAAACAAAGCCAAAGUUGCUCUUCUGCACAUGGGAAGAAACUGAACUGUUUGUCGCCACUGGGUGAAAAAGGAAGAGAAAAAAAAAAAGGCCUUUCACUUAAAGAACAUCUUUAUUUGAUCUCCAAUAUACAAUAUUACCUUUGAUUUAUAUAAAAAAAUCACAUUAUGGAGGACACAACUGGAAACCAGUUCAGGAGCAGCCAGUGGGUAACAACACAGGUUAUACUUACCCACUUAUUAGUUUAGGGGAAAAUCAUCAGUGGAAUUUGAGGCCAGUGAGGGUAAGGAACGGCAUUUCAACUUCCAAACCAACAUAAUUAUACUUGGGGAUACCAUAGUUAGUUAACCCAGCAAAAUGAAAUUGUAAGUUUCUGUCAAUAAAGAGCUCUCUCCACUUUC
This is a long non-coding RNA of Mesocricetus auratus (golden hamster), 1456 nucleotides long. RefSeq lists it as uncharacterized. Lineage: Eukaryota; Metazoa; Chordata; Mammalia; Rodentia; Cricetidae. The record is from RefSeq and is a predicted model, not a curated record. The transcript is spliced from 2 exons.